This 1116-nucleotide unclassified non-coding RNA is filed under the name Lucilia cuprina (Australian sheep blowfly). Its description in RNAcentral is "guanine nucleotide-binding protein subunit gamma-e, transcript variant X2". The record is from RNAcentral. Lineage: Eukaryota; Metazoa; Arthropoda; Insecta; Diptera; Calliphoridae.
UAAGUUGUAAGAAUAACUACGAAUGUCUUUGAUACCAUCGGUAGUCGUUGUUGGAAAAUAGUCGUGUUUCGGUAAUUGUGGUAGUUGGUCGGUUGAAUAUUUAUUUAAUUGCUAAUAUUGUUAAACAGUUUGUUGGUCACACGUUGUGUAGCAGGUAUUAAGUUUUUGACAUUAAGAAUUUUACUUGGAUUAACUUGGCGCCUUUUUUCUUCGUUAAAAGAAACAGAAAUAAUCAAAUAUUUUAGUUUGGAGUGGUAUGUUGAUAAAUUUUAGCCGCUAUGGAUCCCAGUGCUUUACAAAACAUGGAUCGGGACGCAUUAAAGAAACAAAUCGAAAACAUGAAAUAUCAGGCCAAUAUGGAAAGAUGGCCGUUGUCUAAAAGCAUUGCAGAAAUGCGAUCGUUUGUCGAGGAGAAUGAGAAAAAUGAUCCUCUUAUAAACGCCCCAGAUAAAAAAAAUAAUCCGUGGGCUGAAAAGGGAAAGUGUGUUAUUAUGUAAUAUUAUCGUAAACCACAAAAAUACCCAAAUAUUAAACAAAAACAGUUGCAACAUAAACUACAACAACAAAAAUAUAAUAGUUAUCAAUAUCAUCAACAAUUUAAUACAAAUACGAACCACUCCAACCACAACAAUAACAACUACACUGGCAACAGCAGACAACUAGAUAGUCAUAAAGACUUUUUAGAACCUUCAAGAACAAACAAAUUCUUAACAAAAUUAAAGAGAAGAACACAAAGAGAAAUCCUACAAAGGCCAAUCCUACAGCAUCUACUGGUUUUAAUGAUAUGGUUGCAAGCUAAAUUUUGGCAAAUCUAUUACGAGAUAAUUAUGAGAGUAAAACAUUGAGUAAAUUUAAGAACAAUCAAGAUGGAUAAUGACGACCAAACGUUGAUCUAAAUUAUGACUGUCUAACUGACUGCUGAAGGGCAGCCCCUUAAUAAAGUGUCAAAUAUCUUAAUAAAAAGAUGUUAGGUAUCUGUAUCAAUUAAAACAUGUAAUCCGCUUCCCAUAAUCAUAAGUUUAUUACUAUUAAGUAUAUUUUUCUUUACUUUACCUAACAUACUAAUUAUAACAAAAUCAAACAAUUUGCAUAAUUUCUUUAAAGCAAAUCAUGAAA